Molecule: ribosomal RNA, 447 nt
Filed under: uncultured bacterium
Lineage: Bacteria
Description: bacterial SSU rRNA
Rfam family: Bacterial small subunit ribosomal RNA
Source: RNAcentral
UCGGGAAUUUUGGGCAAUGGGCGAAAGCCUGACCCAGCAACGCCGCGUGAAGGAUGAAGUAUUUCGGUAUGUAAACUUCGAAAGAAUAGGAAGAAUAAAUGACGGUACUAUUUAUAAGGUCCGGCUAACUACGUGCCAGCAGCCGCGGUAAUACGUAGGGACCAAGCGUUGUUCGGAUUUACUGGGCGUAAAGGGCGCGUAGGCGGCAAUUCAAGUCAUCUGUGAAAUCUCCGGGCUUAACUCGGAACGGUCAGAUGAUACUGCUUUGCUAGAGUGCAGAAGGGGCAAUCGGAAUUCUUGGUGUAGCGGUGAAAUGCGUAGAUAUCAAGAGGAACACCUGAGGUGAAGACGGGUUGCUGGGCUGACACUGACGCUGAGGCACGAAAGCGUGGGGAGCAAACAGGAUUAGAUACCCUCGUAGUCCCUGAGCGGGCUGGCAAGGCGCAU